GAUGAACGUUGGCGGCGUGCCUAAUACAUGCAAGUCGAACGAAGACUGUAGUAAUACUGUCUUAGUGGCGAACGGGUGAGUAACGCGUGGGUGACCUGCCCCGAAGUGUGGGAUAACAGUUCGAAAGGAUUGCUAAUACUGCAUAAUAUCCAAGAGAUUAGACGCUUUUGGAUUAAAGGAGUAAUUCGCUUCGGGAGGGGCCCGCGUCCCAUCAGCUAGUUGGUAAGGUAAUGGCUUACCAAGGCGAUGACGGGUAGGGGGCCUGAGAGGGUGGCCCCCCACAAUGGAACUGAAACACGGUCCAUACACCUACGGGUGGCAGCAGUAGGGAAUAUUAGUAAUGGGCGAAAGCCUGAACUAGCAACGCCGCGUGUGCGAAGAAGGCCUUCGGGUUGUAAAGCACUUUUUGUAGAGGAUGAGGAAGGACGGUACGUCUCAGAAUAAGUCUCGGCUAACUACGUG
This 462-nucleotide ribosomal RNA is filed under the name uncultured bacterium. RNAcentral's name for it is "bacterial SSU rRNA". It matches the Rfam family "Bacterial small subunit ribosomal RNA", at positions 28 to 507 of the family's 1533-position model. The record is from RNAcentral.